RNAcentral lists this long non-coding RNA (668 nucleotides) under Gallus gallus (chicken). RNAcentral describes it as "lncRNA (ENSGALG00010029067.1)". Lineage: Eukaryota; Metazoa; Chordata; Aves; Galliformes; Phasianidae. The record is from RNAcentral.
CCAGUAUCCCCAGUGCCGCCCACUUCACUUGCACCCACAUCUGUGCCCUACACCUUCUCCAGCUCCUCAUUCCUCACCUGCAGAAGCCAUCCAUGUCACAGCACUGUGAGGUUGUAUGGGAUCUGGAGGCAGGUCGGGGGGAGGAGAGGCCAAAGGUGGGCUAUGGGGGUCCUGGGAUGGUGAUGGGGGUCCUGUCAGGGAACAUGGGGGUUAGUGAGUUCCCAGGGAGGAUCUUGGAGGUGUAAAGGAGGUCUGAGGGAGGAAAUAGAAGGAUUCCGUGGAAGCCCAGUGGGGGACAUGGGGUGCUGCUGGGGACUGUGGGGCUCCAUGUGGCUAUGGGCCAGCUAUGGGGGAGGUGUACUGGGUCUGAGGGGGUCCUCGAGGGGCUCCAGGGCUCACUGGGGGGCUACAGGGUGUCUCUAGGGGUCUUGCUGGGAAACACUGGGAGGGAUAUUGGGGCUCUGAGGGAAUGAUGGGUGCGCUGUCAUGAGAAAGGAAAGGGCAGCCUUGUGGAAAGCAAGGGGCAGCCAGGGGGAUGGAAGGGAAUCCUACCGGAAUGCAAGGGGAAUCCAGGCUGAGGCAAGGGGACAGCUGGGGGAAGAACAGGGAAACGUCCCAGCAACGGACUUCUUCUUUCACAUCCACAUCUUCUGCUUCCCAGCUGUGCU